ACGGGUGAGUAACGCGUGGGUAACCUGCCUCAUACAGGGGGAUAACAGUUAGAAAUGACUGCUAAUACCGCAUAAGCGCACGGAACCGCAUGGUUUUGUGUGAAAAACUCUGGUGGUAUGAGAUGGACCCGCGUCUGAUUAGCUGGUUGGCGGGGUAACGGCCCACCAAGGCGACGAUCAGUAGCCGGCCUGAGAGGGUGAACGGCCACAUUGGGACUGAGACACGGCCCAAACUCCUACGGGAGGCAGCAGUGGGGGAUAUUGCACAAUGGGGGAAACCCUGAUGCAGCGACGCCGCGUGAAGGAAGAAGUAUCUCGGUAUGUAAACUUCUAUCAGCAGGGAAGAAAAUGACGGUACCUGACCAAGAAGCCCCGGCUAACUACGUGCCAGCAGCCGCGGUAAUACGUAGGGGGCAAGCGUUAUCCGGAUUUGCUGGGUGUAAAGGGAGCGUAGGCGGCGACGCAAGUCAGAAGUGAAAGCCCGGGGCUCAACUCCGGGACUGCUUUUGAAACUGCGUUU
This 520-nucleotide ribosomal RNA is filed under the name uncultured bacterium. RNAcentral's name for it is "bacterial SSU rRNA". It matches the Rfam family "Bacterial small subunit ribosomal RNA", at positions 102 to 640 of the family's 1533-position model. The record is from RNAcentral.